RNAcentral lists this transfer RNA (84 nucleotides) under Lachnospiraceae bacterium. Its description in RNAcentral is "tRNA_Tyr_GTA". It matches the Rfam family "tRNA". Rfam says of the family: Transfer RNA (tRNA) molecules are approximately 80 nucleotides in length. Their secondary structure includes four short double-helical elements and three loops (D, anti-codon, and T loops). Lineage: Bacteria; Bacillati; Bacillota; Clostridia; Lachnospirales; Lachnospiraceae. The record is from RNAcentral.
AGGUGGAUGAGCAGAAUUGGUAAUGCAGCGGACUGUAAAUCCGUGGCUUCGGCACUGGGGGUUCAAGUCCCUCUCCACCUACUA